This 1525-nucleotide ribosomal RNA is filed under the name Klebsiella pneumoniae. RNAcentral's name for it is "bacterial SSU rRNA". It matches the Rfam family "Bacterial small subunit ribosomal RNA". Lineage: Bacteria; Pseudomonadati; Pseudomonadota; Gammaproteobacteria; Enterobacterales; Enterobacteriaceae. The record is from RNAcentral.
AAAUUGAAGAGUUUGAUCAUGGCUCAGAUUGAACGCUGGCGGCAGGCCUAACACAUGCAAGUCGAGCGGUAGCACAGAGAGCUUGCUCUCGGGUGACGAGCGGCGGACGGGUGAGUAAUGUCUGGGAAACUGCCUGAUGGAGGGGGAUAACUACUGGAAACGGUAGCUAAUACCGCAUAACGUCGCAAGACCAAAGUGGGGGACCUUCGGGCCUCAUGCCAUCAGAUGUGCCCAGAUGGGAUUAGCUAGUAGGUGGGGUAACGGCUCACCUAGGCGACGAUCCCUAGCUGGUCUGAGAGGAUGACCAGCCACACUGGAACUGAGACACGGUCCAGACUCCUACGGGAGGCAGCAGUGGGGAAUAUUGCACAAUGGGCGCAAGCCUGAUGCAGCCAUGCCGCGUGUGUGAAGAAGGCCUUCGGGUUGUAAAGCACUUUCAGCGGGGAGGAAGGCGUUAAGGUUAAUAACCUUGGCGAUUGACGUUACCCGCAGAAGAAGCACCGGCUAACUCCGUGCCAGCAGCCGCGGUAAUACGGAGGGUGCAAGCGUUAAUCGGAAUUACUGGGCGUAAAGCGCACGCAGGCGGUCUGUCAAGUCGGAUGUGAAAUCCCCGGGCUCAACCUGGGAACUGCAUUCGAAACUGGCAGGCUAGAGUCUUGUAGAGGGGGGUAGAAUUCCAGGUGUAGCGGUGAAAUGCGUAGAGAUCUGGAGGAAUACCGGUGGCGAAGGCGGCCCCCUGGACAAAGACUGACGCUCAGGUGCGAAAGCGUGGGGAGCAAACAGGAUUAGAUACCCUGGUAGUCCACGCCGUAAACGAUGUCGAUUUGGAGGUUGUGCCCUUGAGGCGUGGCUUCCGGAGCUAACGCGUUAAAUCGACCGCCUGGGGAGUACGGCCGCAAGGUUAAAACUCAAAUGAAUUGACGGGGGCCCGCACAAGCGGUGGAGCAUGUGGUUUAAUUCGAUGCAACGCGAAGAACCUUACCUGGUCUUGACAUCCACAGAACUUAGCAGAGAUGCUUUGGUGCCUUCGGGAACUGUGAGACAGGUGCUGCAUGGCUGUCGUCAGCUCGUGUUGUGAAAUGUUGGGUUAAGUCCCGCAACGAGCGCAACCCUUAUCCUUUGUUGCCAGCGGUUAGGCCGGGAACUCAAAGGAGACUGCCAGUGAUAAACUGGAGGAAGGUGGGGAUGACGUCAAGUCAUCAUGGCCCUUACGACCAGGGCUACACACGUGCUACAAUGGCAUAUACAAAGAGAAGCGACCUCGCGAGAGCAAGCGGACCUCAUAAAGUAUGUCGUAGUCCGGAUUGGAGUCUGCAACUCGACUCCAUGAAGUCGGAAUCGCUAGUAAUCGUAGAUCAGAAUGCUACGGUGAAUACGUUCCCGGGCCUUGUACACACCGCCCGUCACACCAUGGGAGUGGGUUGCAAAAGAAGUAGGUAGCUUAACCUUCGGGAGGGCGCUUACCACUUUGUGAUUCAUGACUGGGGUGAAGUCGUAACAAGGUAACCGUAGGGGAACCUGCGGU